AGAGUUUGAUCCUGGCUCAGAUUGAACGCUGGCGGCAGGCCUAACACAUGCAAGUCGAGCGGAUGAGUGGAGCUUGCUCCAUGAUUCAGCGGCGGACGGGUGAGUAAUGCCUAGGAAUCUGCCUGGUAGUGGGGGACAACGUUUCGAAAGGAACGCUAAUACCGCAUACGUCCUACGGGAGAAAGUGGGGGAUCUUCGGACCUCACGCUAUCAGAUGAGCCUAGGUCGGAUUAGCUAGUUGGUGAGGUAAAGGCUCACCAAGGCGACGAUCCGUAACUGGUCUGAGAGGAUGAUCAGUCACACUGGAACUGAGACACGGUCCAGACUCCUACGGGAGGCAGCAGUGGGGAAUAUUGGACAAUGGGCGAAAGCCUGAUCCAGCCAUGCCGCGUGUGUGAAGAAGGUCUUCGGAUUGUAAAGCACUU
Molecule: ribosomal RNA, 425 nt
Filed under: uncultured bacterium
Lineage: Bacteria
Description: bacterial SSU rRNA
Rfam family: Bacterial small subunit ribosomal RNA
Source: RNAcentral